RNAcentral lists this ribosomal RNA (822 nucleotides) under uncultured bacterium. RNAcentral's name for it is "bacterial SSU rRNA". It matches the Rfam family "Bacterial small subunit ribosomal RNA", at positions 1 to 816 of the family's 1533-position model. The record is from RNAcentral.
GCAAGAUGAGAGUUUGAUCCUGGCUCAGAACGAACGCUGGCGGCGUGGAUAAGACAUGCAAGUCGAACGAAGAUCUUGAAUAGCUUGCUAAUUGAGAUCUUAGUGGCGGACGGGUUAGUAACACGUGAGAACCUACCCUUUAGACAGGAAUAGCCCAUGGAAACGUGGAUUAAUGCCUGAUGGUCUCUACGGAGUAAAGGAUGCCUUCGGGUGUCGCUGAAGGAUGGGCUCGCGGCCUAUCAGCUUGUUGGUGAGGUAAAGGCUCACCAAGGCGACGACGGGUAGCUGGUUUGAGAGGACGAUCAGCAACACUGGAACUGAGACACGGUCCAGACACCUACGGGUGGCAGCAGUCGAGAAUCAUUCACAAUGGGGGCAACCCUGAUGGUGCAACGCCGCGUGGAGGAUGACGGUCCUAGGAUUGUAAACUCCUGUCAUUGGGGAGUAAGACUUGUUCGUUAAUAGCGUGCAAGUUUGAUAGUACCCAAAGAGGAAGGGACGGCUAACUUCGUGCCAGCAGCCGCGGUAAUACGAAGGUCCCAAGCGUUGUUCGGAAUCACUGGGCGUAAAGCGUGUGUAGGCUGCGCGGAAAGUCAAAUGUGAAAGCCCGGGGCUCAACCUCGGAACUGCAUUCGAUACUCCCGUGCUAGAGUCAUGGAGAGGUCAGUGGAAUUCCCGGUGUAGCAGUGAAAUGCGUGGAUAUCGGGAGGAACAUCAAUGGCGAAGGCAACUGACUGGACAUGUACUGACGCUCAGACACGAAGGCCAGGGUAGCGAAAGGGAUUAGAUACCCCUGUAGUCCUGGCAGUAAACGGUGCUCGC